CGCACGGGUGAGUAACACGUAUCCAACCUGCCGUCUACUCUUGGACAGCCUUCUGAAAGGAAGAUUAAUACAAGAUGGCAUCAUGAGUCCGCAUGUUCACAUGAUUAAAAGUAUUCCGGUAGACGAUGGGGAUGCGUUCCAUUAGAUAGUAGGCGGGGUAACGGCCCACCUAGUCUUCGAUGGAUAGGGGUUCUGAGAGGAAGGUCCCCCACAUUGGAACUGAGACACGGUCCAAACUCCUACGGGAGGCAGCAUG
This 256-nucleotide ribosomal RNA is filed under the name uncultured bacterium. RNAcentral describes it as "partial 16S ribosomal RNA". It matches the Rfam family "Bacterial small subunit ribosomal RNA", at positions 99 to 353 of the family's 1533-position model. The record is from RNAcentral.